GAUCAUGGCUCAGGAUGAACGCUAGCUACAGGCUUAACACAUGCAAGUCGAGGGGAAACGACAUCGAAAGCUUGCUUUUGAUGGGCGUCGACCGGCGCACGGGUGAGUAACGCGUAUCCAACCUGCCCACCACUUGGGGAUAACCUUGCGAAAGUAAGACUAAUACCCAAUGAUAUCCCACGAAGGCAUCCGAAUGGGAUUAAAGAUUUAUCGGUGAUGGAUGGGGAUGCGUCUGAUUAGCUUGUUGGCGGGGUAACGGCCCACCAAGGCGACGAUCAGUAGGGGUUCUGAGAGGAAGGUCCCCCACAUUGGAACUGAGACACGGUCCAAACUCCUACGGGAGGCAGCAGUGAGGAAUAUUGGUCAAUGGACGCAAGUCUGAACCAGCCAAGUAGCGUGCAGGAUGACGGCCCUAUGGGUUGUAAACUGCUUUUAUGCGGGGAUAAAGUGUGGGACGUGUCCCAUAUUGUAGGUACCGCAUGAAUAAGGACCGGCUAAUUCCGUG
This 505-nucleotide ribosomal RNA is filed under the name uncultured bacterium. RNAcentral's name for it is "bacterial SSU rRNA". It matches the Rfam family "Bacterial small subunit ribosomal RNA", at positions 15 to 507 of the family's 1533-position model. The record is from RNAcentral.